RNAcentral lists this ribosomal RNA (371 nucleotides) under uncultured bacterium. RNAcentral describes it as "bacterial SSU rRNA". It matches the Rfam family "Bacterial small subunit ribosomal RNA", at positions 527 to 896 of the family's 1533-position model. The record is from RNAcentral.
GUAGGUGGCGAGCGUUGUCCGGAUUUACUGGGCGUAAAGAGCGCGCAGGCGGUCGUACAGGUCGCGUGUGAAAGCCCCCGGCUCAACUGGGGAGGGUCACGCGAUACUGUUCGACUCGAAGGCAGGAGAGGGAAGUGGAAUUCCCGGUGUAGUGGUGAAAUGCGUAGAUAUCGGGAGGAACACCAGUGGCGAAGGCGACUUCCUGGCCUGUUCUUGACGCUGAGGCGCGAAAGCUAGGGUAGCAAACGGGAUUAGAUACCCCGGUAGUCCUAGCCGUAAACGAUGGACACUAGGUGUUGGUGGUAUCAACCCCGCCAGUGCCGAAGCUAACGCAUUAAGUGUCCCGCCUGGGGAGUACGGCCGCAAGGCUA